GACGAACGCUGGCGGCGCGCCUAACACAUGCAAGUCGAACGGAGCUGAGAGAAGCUUGCUUUUCUUAGCUUAGUGGCGAACGGGUGAGUAACGCGUGAGUAACCUGCCCUGGAGUGGGGGACAACAGUUGGAAACGACUGCUAAUACCGCAUAAGCCCACGAUCCGGCAUCGGAUUGAGGGAAAAGGAUUUAUUCGCUUCAGGAUGGACUCGCGUCCAAUUAGCUAGUUGGUGAGGUAACGGCCCACCAAGGCGACGAUUGGUAGCCGGACUGAGAGGUUGAGCGGCCACAUUGGGACUGAGACACGGCCCAGACUCCUACGGGAGGCAGCAGUGGGGGAUAUUGCACAAUGGGGGAAACCCUGAUGCAGCGACGCCGCGUGGAGGAAGAAGGUUUUCGUAUUGUAAACUCCUGUCGUUAGGGACGAUAAUGACGGUACCUAACAAGAAAGCACCGGCUAACUACGUG
Molecule: ribosomal RNA, 468 nt
Filed under: uncultured bacterium
Lineage: Bacteria
Description: partial 16S ribosomal RNA
Rfam family: Bacterial small subunit ribosomal RNA
Source: RNAcentral